RNAcentral lists this ribosomal RNA (438 nucleotides) under Candidatus Liptonbacteria bacterium RIFCSPLOWO2_12_FULL_60_15. RNAcentral's name for it is "bacterial LSU rRNA". It matches the Rfam family "Bacterial large subunit ribosomal RNA", at positions 2471 to 2912 of the family's 2925-position model. The record is from RNAcentral. Lineage: Bacteria; Candidatus Liptoniibacteriota.
GGGAUAACAGGCUGGUCUUGCCCGAGAGUUCCUAUCGACGGCAAGGCUCGGCACCUCGAUGUCGGCUCGCCCUAGCGCGGGGCUGGAGAAGGUCCCAAGCGUUUGGCUGUUCGCCAAUUAAAAGGGCACGCGAGCUGGGUUCAGACCGUCGUGAGACAGGUUGGUCUCUAUCUGUUGCAGGCGUUGAUACUUGCGGGGAGUUGGCCCUAGUACGAGAGGACUGGGCUGAACGUACCUCUGGUCUACCGGCUUUGCCACCAGGCGAACCGCCGGGUAGCUAUGUAUGGACGGGAUAAGCGCUGAAAGCAUCUAAGCACGAAGCCCACCCCAAGAUUAGGUAUCGUCCGAAAGGACAAGAUCUCCUCGAAGACUACGAGGCUGAUAGGCUCUAGGUGUGCGCACCGUAAGGUGUUUAGCCAAGGAGUACUAAUGAUCUCC